This 4954-nucleotide long non-coding RNA is filed under the name Papio anubis (olive baboon). RNAcentral describes it as "lncRNA (ENSPANG00000042340.1)". Lineage: Eukaryota; Metazoa; Chordata; Mammalia; Primates; Cercopithecidae. The record is from RNAcentral.
UACAGUCCCUGUGGAGGUAAACAGCUGCCCACAGUUGGUUUACAGUCUUGGCUGGUCCCCUUCUAAAUGAUUCCAACCUUAGCCACGUGACUUGUUUGGCCAAAGGGACAAUAGCAAAUGUAACACAAGUAGAGGGUUGAAAAGUGUGUGCACAUUGAGUCCUGCCCUGUCUUGCUGCUGAAAACUGCUGCUGCCACGUGGACAAGGCUGGGUUGAUCACAUGAAGGAUGAGAGGUCCCGAUUAUCCCAGCCACCCACACCAUGCCUGCUGAGGCCUCAGAAGCCCAACGGAGGCCACAGAGACCAUCCAGCAGUACACAGCUGGCCUAGACCAGAAAAACCUCCCUUAAGGAACUUAAAGAACAGUCCUUAACCUGCAGGAGACAGAUGUGUGAGCCAACAGUGACAGAGAGCACAGCAGUUACUCUGUCAGAGGCUUGUCUGGGGCAAGUGUGCAGAGCAGCGGGGCGUGGAGGAGGCUUGCGAGGACAGGAAGGACUGACAGAAGCCACCACACAGGAGCUGAGACCUGCAGAAAGAGCAGACACUGGCACGUGUACCAGCAGCAGGAGGAUGCUCCCGAUGGUGGAGGACCCCAGAUGCAGUUCCCAGGGAACACUGGAAAAUGCAGUUUGUAGGGAAACAUCUUUCUCUCCAGCUCUUUUGAUGCCAAUAGCAACAAAGAGGCCACAUGACAUGCUCUGUGCUUCUUGGAGCAGAGCCCAGGGUCUAGUGGUUAACAGGGACAACUAAACUGUACUCUUCAGCCAUCGUAUCCAGGAUGCCACACACCAUGCCUGGAAAAAAGUCCUCACUCAUGCUUAUUCUUGCUGGUACUGUCAUCUCUCUUGAUCCCUUCUAUGACAGUUCAACACAAUUCACACUUUGUUAUUGUGUGAAAGAAAAAAAGAUUUUUUUCCUCAUGAAGAUCUUGAAGAGAGCUAUUUCUGAGUGAUCCACCUGACCUGUUGCAAAAAGGCAUGUGUUGAUAUGUUGAUAUGACUGUGCUUUUUUUCUUUUUCUUUUGAUUUGUUUAGUGGGGCAGCAGACAGGGAGGUGGGGCAGAGAUCCCUGUGAUCCUCAGAGGGACUGUGGAGGGCUGGGACUGCUGCCUUAGACCAAGUUUUCUUGUCAAUUGCAAUGUCUGGGUCAGAAGUUUUCUAUAGGUGAUGGCAGAGAUCCAGCACCUCAGCAGUGAGAAUUUGCCACGUGAAACAUCAACCAAAUUAUGCAACAAAACUUACAUGACAUGUGAACAGUCUAGGGGAUAAGGACGUCUUCCCAAACAAGACUGGAAAUUCAGAAGUUAAAACGGAAAAAAGUAGACAUUACUAACAUUUAAAAUAAAUACAAACUUUUUAUGGCGAAAUGCAACAUAAAGUCAUCAAGCAGGACAUUUGGGGGUAAAUGAUAAUGCAGAGGACAAAGAUGUUACAUUUACACAAAGAGUUUUUAUAAAUCAACAAGGAGAAAAGUAUGAAUAAUUACAGCAUUUGUGAACUUAUUAGCAACCUAGUAAAUAUUUUUAAAAAGAUUAUACCCUAUGACUUAACAUUCCAGGAUAUGUGUAUGAGGAUAUUUGCUAAGCUUUAUUCAGUAUGGCAAAGCAAAACCAAAGAAAACAAAAAACUUUGAAGCAUUUACUGAGCACAUUCUGCAUAGCAGAAACUGUGUUAAGCCCUCAUUCGACUGUUUGAACAGCACAAUUAGUCGGCCAUAAGACACAGCCCCUUAUUAGGAUGAGAAACCCAAGACUCAGAGAAGGCAAGCAAUUCAUUCAAGAUUAUACAAAGAAGCUACAUGGCUGUAAAUGCCAGGUGUGAAAAAAGAUGAAGCUUAAAAAAAAAAAAAAAAAAAAGAAUAACAUCAAGAAAUGUAAAAGAUAAAAUUAAAACUUAAAGCUAAGGCCAGGAAUGGUGGCCCACACCUGUCUUCCCAGCACAUUGGGAGGUUGAGGUAGACAGAUCAUUUGAGCCCAGGAGUUUGAGACCAGCCUGGGCAACAUGGUGAAACCCUGUCUCUACAAAAACUACAAAAAUUAGGGCCGGACGCUGUGGCUCACAUCUGUAAUCCCAGCACUUUGGGAGGCCGAAAGUUCAGAAGAUUGAGACCAUCCUGACUAACACGGUGAAACCCCGUCUGUACUAAAAAUACAAAAAAAUUAGCGAGGCGUGGUGGUGAGCACCUGUAGUACCAGCUAUUUGGGAGGCUGAGGCAGGAGAAUGGCGUGAACCCAGGAGGCAGAGUUUGCAGUGAGCCGAGAUCGUGCCAGCGCACUCCAGCCUGGGUGACAGAGCGAGACUCCGUCUCAAAUUUAAAAAAAAAAAAAUUAGCCAGGUGUGAUGGCUCACACCUAUGGUCUCAACUACUUGGGAGGCUGAGGUGGGAGGUUUACUUGAACCUGGGAGGCAGAGGUUACAGUGAACUGAGAUCAUAUCACUGUACUCCAACCUGGGCAACAGAGCAAGAUUGUCUCAACAACAACAACAACAACAACAAAAGUAGAAGGUAAAUACAAAGAUAAAAAGCAAAAAGCAAAGAACCAAGAAAGUAAAAAGGAAGAGAGAAAAUGAGAUUUAGAAAUUUCCAUUUUCCCUUUGACUUUGUGUCUUAAAAAAUAAAAAAUAGAUUUAGAAUUUUUUUUUAAAAAAGAAUAAAACAAGUAACAAAAGAGUAAAACAUAAAUCGACAGUGACAAUAUUUUUUAAAAGAGAAGAUAGAGAUAAACUAAGAGCUUAGAAAGCACGGGAAUAAGAAAUAAUAAAAGGCUUAGUAAAAAGUUGGCGUAAAAGGCGACCUACCCAUGGGCCGAGCCCCACCCGUUCACUGAGCCUGGGAAACGACAUUCAGCAGCAGGGGGAGGAGCAGCUGUUUCCUGUCACCCAGGUCUCAAGGGCCUGGGCUGGUUGUAGCUCCCUGACACUGAAGCAAGGCCUGUACUAGAACCUAACCCCAGUGUCUCUCCAACUAACCCGCAUGCUGCCCUGGCCCCUGGUAUUCUCACCUCCUCCCAUGGGACCCUCGGACAGCCGCGCCUCAUGCAUCGUGACCACUUUGCCCAGUUCCUAAGAAGCUCUUCUUCUUGUGAGCAGAGCCUGCCCUUGGCUGGGCCCUGCAUCAAACUCUGUGGAGCUCCCUGAACUGCAACUCUGCCCCUAUGGCCUGAUAAGGACCACUGCUACUGAGAAGCUCCAGGGGCUGCUCCCUCUCAUCACCCACUUAGUGUGCACCCAUGGACCAUUGGCCCACAUUGGACACCAGACCCUUAGGAUUUGGAUUUGAAUUAUCUGCUCUUUCCUGAAAUUAAGAGGCAAUAUUGGGGCAGAGGAGAAGGAAGGAUGUCAGACAAUAUUUCAUUUAUUAUUAUUAUUUUUAGAAGGAGUCUCGCUCUGUCACCCAAGCUGGAGUACAGAGGCGUGAUCUCGGCUCACUGCAACCUCUGCCUCCUAGGUUCAAGGGAUUCUCCUGCUUCAGCCUCCCGAGUAACUGAGAUUAUGGGCACCUGCCACCACACCUGGCUAAUUUUAUUUAUUUAUUUAUUUUUCUUAGUAGAGGCAGGUUUUCACCAUGUUGGCCAGGCUGGUCUCAAACUCCUGACCUCAAAUGAUCCACCCGCCUCAGCCUCCCAAAGUGUUGGGAUUACAGGCGUGAGCCACUGUGCCUGGCCCAGAUGAUAUUUCAAAUCAGAUAAUAGGACAAGGAGUAGAUAACCUAGACAAUUCUCCAGAGGAGCUUCUGGCAAUGUUUCUGAAAUCAGGGGACCAGCGGCAACAAUGGGGUUUGAUAUUGAAAGAAAGCCUUCUAAGCAGAAACAUUAGUUCUUGUCAAGGGCCAGAGUAGGUCUCAGCAUGCUGGGCUUAGCAAAGAGGAAAGUAGGCUGGGAAGCUGGCCUGCAGAGUGAGUAGGGGGAAAUCUAGGCAGCCCCUGAGAGGGAAGAGGAGACAAAUUUAGGUUAGACAAUACCAAAGAGCAUCAGGUUACUGAGCCGCUGUCUUUCUGGGGACAAAAAGGUCUCAUGUAAAAGAACGAGCUCACACCCGGAUGGGACGUUUUGCAAUUUGAUGGAGAGGAUGUCGAGUACGAUGAAAGGCCUUCAGCACCAGCGAUCAGAACUUGAGAAUGACCUACUUCUUCCACUUACAGCUAAUUAUGGGACUGUGCUGGCUGAAACACAUGUAAGUCACUGUCAGAAACACCAUUCAGUUAAAACUCGUCAUGAGCAGAGGAGCUGUGUUAAAAGAUUCCUUUUCAUUUCCUAUGAAUCCCAGUGUAUUCUAGAUUUUACAUACUAGACAUACCCAUGUGUAUUCUACAGUGACAUUAACAUGCACCAGAUAUAAGAUAUAAGCAGAGUUUUUGCUAGUAAGGAAUUUAGGGCUCAUUCUUAUUUAACAACACCAUCUUAUAAGUAAGAAACCAGGGUUCUAGCAAGUUAACUGGUGUCCCCAAAAUCACUGAGUUAUGAGUGAACAGAUCAGCUACUGGAACGGCUGUCUUCUGACCCUUAGGCCAGAGGUCUUUCCAUUAUACUCUUCAGCAAGGUUUUCUAUGUCCUUUAUAAGCUGUCUCAUCAAAAUUACACCCAGCAAAAGUGUAGGACGUCCCCACUUAAACCUGCAACACAAGUCGGAGCAUCCUUUCAUUAGCAGACCUGAGGGCCAGGAGGUGGAGAAGAACUGCUUAGGCCACUAAUGGGUUCUCCGAAUGUAUGCCUUGACACACCCCAAGCCCUUCUUUGCAUUGUGACAUAGGACACAGUAGAAGCCUGCUAACAGUGACAACCCCUUCUGAAGGAAUAAUAGAUCUGUGCAAAAAGUCUUUGGCUCAGGACAUUGGGUGGCUUUGUGCAGCUGUCCUGGAUUUCUGGAAGCUCGACUUGCUGUGACUCCAGGAGGUGAGAGCCCAUGUCCAUUCUUCCAUCCUUGCAGACACAGGGUGCCUGUGGGCAACCUCG